AUAAUUAACCACACGAUCGAGCAACGAGCAGACCAGCAUGCAUUAUACACAGAACUUACUCAAGUUUCUAAAUAUUCAAAGAAGAUAGCUAGUCAUGUCAGAGAUCAGCACGUGAAGACGGGCAACAAGAAAGGAUAUGUUGUAUGUAUAAUGUAGUACUACUACUAUUGAGUUGUUACGAAAAGCUCGGGCUUUAGAGUUCAUUUUUCUUUUACAUGUGUGUGUGUCUGUGUAAUGGCCGGAGUUGGACCACUUUUUCUUUUUCAUGGUUUUCUUUUUCAAGAAAAACAUUAAGCUUUUCAAAAUAUUUGGUAGUGGGAUGCAGGUGUGUGCAGUGUACAAAGACAAAAGGAAAAGAAGAGAUCAACUUCUUAGUUCUUUACGUACGUGGAACAAAAAGUACUGAUCAGUGGAAAUCAUUAAUGUCGGUUUUAUAUUGCCGGUUUUGUCGAUGACAUGGUUCAUAUAAUAAUAUCCAAGCUCGAUGCAUUACUUUAA
This is a long non-coding RNA of Juglans microcarpa x Juglans regia, 498 nucleotides long. RefSeq lists it as uncharacterized. The record is from RefSeq and is a predicted model, not a curated record. NCBI's taxonomy places the organism in Eukaryota, Viridiplantae, Streptophyta, Magnoliopsida, Fagales, Juglandaceae. The transcript has 2 exons.